This 25-nucleotide unclassified non-coding RNA is filed under the name Mus musculus (house mouse). Its description in RNAcentral is "oocyte_clustered_small_RNA10792". The record is from RNAcentral. Lineage: Eukaryota; Metazoa; Chordata; Mammalia; Rodentia; Muridae.
UACAGCUUUAGGUCGGGCAUAGUGA